GACGAACGCUGGCGGCGUGCUUAACACAUGCAAGUCGAACGGAAAGGCCCUGCUUUUGUGGGGUGCUCGAGUGGCGAACGGGUGAGUAACACGUGAGUAACCUGCCCUUGACUUUGGGAUAACUUCAGGAAACUGGGGCUAAUACCGGAUAGGAGCUCCUGCUGCAUGGUGGGGGUUGGAAAGUUUCGGCGGUUGGGGAUGGACUCGCGGCUUAUCAGCUUGUUGGUGGGGUAGUGGCUUACCAAGGCUUUGACGGGUAGCCGGCCUGAGAGGGUGACCGGCCACAUUGGGACUGAGAUACGGCCCAGACUCCUACGGGAGGCAGCAGUGGGGAAUAUUGCACAAUGGGCGGAAGCCUGAUGCAGCAACGCCGCGUGCGGGAUGACGGCCUUCGGGUUGUAAACCGAUUUCGCCUGUGACGAAGCGUGAGUGACGGUAAUGGGUAAAGAAGCACCGGCUAACUACGUGCCAGCAGCCGCGGUGAUACGUAGGGUGCGAGCGUUGUCCGGAUUUAUUGGGCGUAAAGGGCUCGUAGGUGGUUGAUCGCGUCGGAAGUGUAAUCUUGGGGCUUAACCCUGAGCGUGCUUUCGAUACGGGUUGACUUGAGGAAGGUAGGGGAGAAUGGAAUUCCUGGUGGAGCGGUGGAAUGCGCAGAUAUCAGGAGGAACACCAGUGGCGAAGGCGGUUCUCUGGGCCUUUCCUGACGCUGAGGAGCAAAAGCGUGGGGAGCGAACAGGCUUAGAUACCCUGGUAGUCCACGCUGUAAACGGUGGGUACUAGGUGUGGGGUCCAUUCCACGGGUUCCGUGCCGUAGCUAACGCUUUAAGUACCCCGCCUGGGGAGUACGGCCGCAAGGCUAAAACUCAAAGGAAUUGACGGGGCCCCGCACAAGCGGCGGAGCAUGCGGAUUAAUUCGAUGCAACGCGUAGAACCUUACCUGGGUUUGACAUGGAUCGGGAGUGCUCAGAGAUGGGUGUGCCUCUUUUGGGGUCGGUUCACAGGUGGUGCAUGGCUGUCGUCAGCUCGUGUCGUGAGAUGUUGGGUUAAGUCCCGCAACGAGCGCAACCCUUGUUCACUGUUGCCAGCACGUUAUGGUGGGGACUCAGUGGAGACCGCCGGGGUCAACUCGGAGGAAGGUGGGGAUGACGUCAAGUCAUCAUGCCCCUUAUGUCCAGGGCUUCACGCAUGCUACAAUGGCUGGUACAGAGAGUGGCGAGCCUGUGAGGGUGAGCGAAUCUCGGAAAGCCGGUCUCAGUUCGGAUUGGGGUCUGCAACUCGACCUCAUGAAGUCGGAGUCGCUAGUAAUCGCAGGUCAGCAACGCUGCGGUGAAUACGUUCCCGGG
This 1343-nucleotide ribosomal RNA is filed under the name uncultured bacterium. Its description in RNAcentral is "16S ribosomal RNA". It matches the Rfam family "Bacterial small subunit ribosomal RNA", at positions 28 to 1378 of the family's 1533-position model. The record is from RNAcentral.